Molecule: non-coding RNA, 445 nt
Organism: Cercocebus atys (sooty mangabey)
Lineage: Eukaryota; Metazoa; Chordata; Mammalia; Primates; Cercopithecidae
Source: the annotation of a RefSeq genome assembly
AGUGUGACCUUAACCUUUCCUCACACUAAGAAGACAAGACCCAAGGACACCAGAGGGUCUAAAAAUGAACUCUUUUCCAGGAUCAGUGAUUGCACUAUUCUUAAUGUUUGGGGGAAUCAAUGGAGAUUCAGUGGUCCAGACAGAAGGCCAAGUGCUCCUCUCUGAAGGGGAUUCCCUGAUUGUGAACUGCUCCUAUGAAAGCACACAGUACCCUUCCCUUUUCUGGUAUGUCCAAUAUCCUGGAGAAGGUCCACAGCUCCUCCUGAAAGCCAUGAAGUUCAAUGACAAGGAAAGCAACAAAGGUUUUGAAGCCACAUACCGUAAAGAAACCACUUCUUUCCACUUGAAGAAAGACUCAGUUCAAGAGUCAGACUCAGCUGUGUACUUCUGUGCUCUGAGUGACACAGUGACAGGGACUGCAGGGGAAGCUGAGCACAAACUCUGA